Aotus nancymaae (Ma's night monkey) is the source of this 73-nucleotide microRNA precursor. Lineage: Eukaryota; Metazoa; Chordata; Mammalia; Primates; Aotidae. The record is from Ensembl.
GUAGGUGGGGACGCGGCGGCGCUGCUCCUCCGCUGCCGCCGGGAGAGUCGGCGACGCCGCCAGCUCUGCGCGC